Molecule: non-coding RNA, 2751 nt
Organism: Chrysemys picta bellii (western painted turtle)
Lineage: Eukaryota; Metazoa; Chordata; Testudines; Emydidae
Source: RefSeq, a predicted model, not a curated record
CCCACCCCCAGCCUCGCCCCCCUCGAAACACACCGGCUACUGAUAUAUUACAGAUCUCUGGGAGAAAAAAGACUUUGAUGGGGAAAUGUAUUUCUAAUAUGUCUUAAAUUACCUAGGUUGUUAUUUAUACUCUCCAAAAAUUAGAUAAUAUCUUCCAUUUCUGGGCCUGCGAGGCCAUCACAAGGAAUGAGAUCUGCCUUUUCCAAUUCAAACAGAACAACUCGCUUCUUUUCAUUUAUUUUUUUAAUGUUCCUCUCCUGGAGUUCCGAACUGUAAAAGCUCCAGGGUGGGGGAAAGAGGGCUUUAAGAAAGACUGUUGCAAAGACUCAUGCAAGAGAAAGCAGAGAAUGUAGUGCUGAGAUGGGGAACCACACAUCAGUGACAGACUUCCUUCUGCUGGGUCUUUCCAAUGACCCAAAGAUGCAGUUCCUCCUUUUCUGGCUGUGCUCCAUUAUCUACACCAUUACUGUGGCAGGGAAUAACACUGAUGCUCAUCUGAAUGGAUUCUUGACUCCACACCCCAGUGUAUUUCUCCCUGAGUCACCUCCUAUGUCGACAUCUGCUACACAUCCAGCACUGUAUCUCAGAUGCUAGUCAACUUCCUGAGCCCAUCUCAGAAAACCCAUCUCAUUGACCAGCCCAUAUGUAUCUGUAGCUUCUGGCAGUGAUGGCAUAUGAUCGUCAUUCAUUCUGGGAGCAGAAACAAUCCUUUGUGACUGAGAUGACAAAUCACACAUCAUGCAUAAUAAACAGUAAGUAGUUGAAAUCAGCAAUCUAGACAAAGGUCUAAAUUACUAGUUAACUCCUUCGUAAAGAAAAAAUCAGCUGGCUCUAGUAUCAACCUUGUGUAGUGGAGAUCAGGUGUUAAUGCUAGGUAAUGGGACCUUGAUGGAAGAAAUGGAAUCACUGGACUUGAGCAACCUGCUCACUAGAGACUGGAGAAGUCAGAAGCUGUAAUACAGGAGCUUUUUGCUGCCUCCUUGAGGGCGAUGGUGAUAUCAUCAUCUCCUUGAAGUAUGAGAGAUCCCAUACAAAAAGACAAUUUUAAAUUUAAUCUAGCACAUUUAAAGAAAUAACUUGGCAUGUGAAAAUGGUUGGAGUUGGAGUCAUUGGAGUUGCAUGUAGUUGAUAGUCUGAUCAUCCAGAAUCUUAUAGCUGUUAUUAGUGUUUUAAAGUUAAAUAUGUCCCUGUUGCCCAGGGCUCUGGUAAUUUAUGAUAGCUCCUACAGGUUCUAAAGCCCAAUUUGAUUACCAAAUGGGAUAGUAUCAUGUAAUCCUCUCUUCAUGGAAAUUGUUUCAGCUCUGCAAUAGAUUCUGAUCACACUCUGAAAUUAGCUAAUGGUUGUGACUAUAUAAAUAAAAUCAGUCAUUUGUUUGCAUUCAGCUAGAUGGGAAAAUGCAAAGAUAUGUGCAUGUAAUGGAAAAAAGUAACAGAACCUUUCCCCCAUUCAUGUAGCUGUACCUUUGAUGAUUAACUACUAAUAGAUCAUGGUUAGCUGAAUUUUUCCUGUGAAUUGUGUUGGUGAAAUUUCCACUGAAACUCUAGGUAGGAUUUGCUGGUGAUAAGUAGAAACACCUCCAGCCUUUUUUCCACGUAGUGAUUUUAGUAACCAAUUCCAUUGGCAGGAUUAUAGCAAAUGGAUUUUAUCAUAGUCAUGAAUGGUAGAUUAGUUUGUGAAUUGCAUUGAAACUAAGCAGAAAACUGACCACAUAUGAAAUGAUCAGCAUGGAAUGGGCACAUUAAAUUAUGUCCCUCAUGAAAAACACAUAAGUACCUACUUGGGAAGAAAAUUUCUGAUAGGCUGAAACCUCCUUACUAGCAGGCAAAAGUAUAACUAGAGGCAAUGCAGAAGCUGAGGUUAGACCAAUUUAGACUGAAAAUAAGGUGCAAAUUUUUAACAGUGAGGAUAAUUGACCAUUACAACAAGUUGUCAAGAGGCAUUUUCCAUCACUUAAAGUCUUUAAAUGACCAGUCUUUCUCUUUCUCCUGUCAAUAUCUUUACUGAAUCGGGCUGACGAGCAUGCUACGGAAUAGGAGGUGUAAACUGGGUUUCUUCUCCAUAUGCUCUACAGGUGCAGGUUAUAUUAAAGGAAGUGGGUGGCAGAGAGAUAUUUAGUUUUAGCCUAGGCACAGCUAGCCUUGGUAAAAACAGAGUGGGACAGUCUAUACUUUGGGGGAGUGUCCUGUAACCCCCAUAUUCCUCAUUUUAUAUAAUCAUAAUCUUGCAUAUAAAGCAUGCCUUGUAAUGUAUCGGGGAAAGGUUAUGAUCUGCUGAAAGACAUUGUUCUAUCUAAAUAUGUGUAUCACCAAUACAUAUGAAAUUAUAAGAAUUGGGUUGCAUGGUUUUCAUUAAAAUGUGCUGUGGGUUUUGGAGGCGCCCAGAUACUAGCUAUACAGAGACAAUGACAAGGGAGGUAACCAACACCUGGGUGGAUGCUGCUGAACAGAAAUCACCAGCCAUUGUCCAGCAAGGAAGCUACAAUUCAAUGACUCACCUGCAUGAGGCCACACCAGGGGAAUUUCUCAGCCUUCCCUGGAGGCUCAGCAAUGGCCCCAGACAUGCCUGCACUUGUGCUCUACAAGCACAUGGACUAAGGGUAUAAAACAGACACAGUGGCCAUGUUUGGCCUUUCUCCUUCCCCCAUCUAUGCUGCAAGCAACAAGGACACUGAGAAGUCUUAACACUCCAACAGAGGAAACUGGGCCAGGUUUCAAGGGUGAAAUCUGUGUACUAUGAAUUGCAAUAUCCAG